RNAcentral lists this ribosomal RNA (1264 nucleotides) under Bacillus amyloliquefaciens. RNAcentral describes it as "bacterial SSU rRNA". It matches the Rfam family "Bacterial small subunit ribosomal RNA", at positions 88 to 1338 of the family's 1533-position model. Lineage: Bacteria; Bacillati; Bacillota; Bacilli; Caryophanales; Bacillaceae. The record is from RNAcentral.
GAUGUUAGCGGCGGACGGGUGAGUAACACGUGGGUAACCUGCCUGUAAGACUGGGAUAACUCCGGGAAACCGGGGCUAAUACCGGAUGGUUGUCUGAACCGCAUGGUUCAGACAUAAAAGGUGGCUUCGGCUACCACUUACAGAUGGACCCGCGGCGCAUUAGCUAGUUGGUGAGGUAACGGCUCACCAAGGCGACGAUGCGUAGCCGACCUGAGAGGGUGAUCGGCCACACUGGGACUGAGACACGGCCCAGACUCCUACGGGAGGCAGCAGUAGGGAAUCUUCCGCAAUGGACGAAAGUCUGACGGAGCAACGCCGCGUGAGUGAUGAAGGUUUUCGGAUCGUAAAGCUCUGUUGUUAGGGAAGAACAAGUGCCGUUCAAAUAGGGCGGCACCUUGACGGUACCUAACCAGAAAGCCACGGCUAACUACGUGCCAGCAGCCGCGGUAAUACGUAGGUGGCAAGCGUUGUCCGGAAUUAUUGGGCGUAAAGGGCUCGCAGGCGGUUUCUUAAGUCUGAUGUGAAAGCCCCCGGCUCAACCGGGGAGGGUCAUUGGAAACUGGGGAACUUGAGUGCAGAAGAGGAGAGUGGAAUUCCACGUGUAGCGGUGAAAUGCGUAGAGAUGUGGAGGAACACCAGUGGCGAAGGCGACUCUCUGGUCUGUAACUGACGCUGAGGAGCGAAAGCGUGGGGAGCGAACAGGAUUAGAUACCCUGGUAGUCCACGCCGUAAACGAUGAGUGCUAAGUGUUAGGGGGUUUCCGCCCCUUAGUGCUGCAGCUAACGCAUUAAGCACUCCGCCUGGGGAGUACGGUCGCAAGACUGAAACUCAAAGGAAUUGACGGGGGCCCGCACAAGCGGUGGAGCAUGUGGUUUAAUUCGAAGCAACGCGAAGAACCUUACCAGGUCUUGACAUCCUCUGACAAUCCUAGAGAUAGGACGUCCCCUUCGGGGGCAGAGUGACAGGUGGUGCAUGGUUGUCGUCAGCUCGUGUCGUGAGAUGUUGGGUUAAGUCCCGCAACGAGCGCAACCCUUGAUCUUAGUUGCCAGCAUUCAGUUGGGCACUCUAAGGUGACUGCCGGUGACAAACCGGAGGAAGGUGGGGAUGACGUCAAAUCAUCAUGCCCCUUAUGACCUGGGCUACACACGUGCUACAAUGGACAGAACAAAGGGCAGCGAAACCGCGAGGUUAAGCCAAUCCCACAAAUCUGUUCUCAGUUCGGAUCGCAGUCUGCAACUCGACUGCGUGAAGCUGGAAUCGCUAG